This 253-nucleotide ribosomal RNA is filed under the name uncultured bacterium. Its description in RNAcentral is "partial 16S ribosomal RNA". It matches the Rfam family "Bacterial small subunit ribosomal RNA", at positions 524 to 776 of the family's 1533-position model. The record is from RNAcentral.
UACGUAGGUGGCAAGCGUUGUCCGGAUUUACUGGGCGUAAAGCGCGUGUAGGCGGCUUUGCAAGUCGGGUGUGAAAGCCCUCAGCUCAACUGAGGAAGUGCGCCCGAAACUGCAGAGCUUGAGUGCCGGAGAGGGUGGCGGAAUUCCCCAAGUAGAGGUGAAAUUCGUAGAUAUGGGGAGGAACACCGGUGGCGAAGGCGGCCACCUAGACGGUAACUGACGCUGAGACGCGAAAGCGUGGGGAGCAAACAGG